AUAAAAUUAUCAUUUGAAUUUGGGAUGGGCCCAGUUGCCAAUUUGAGAAUAUUAUUUUGGGUAUAUUGAACCACAGCGAAAAUUUGAAGCCCUUUCCUUGAGCUCUCGACUCUCGUGGCCACUUAUGGUACAGCGAAUAGAAGCUUCUAGCAAUGGCCAUGGCAGAGCACUGCAUCUCAGUUUGGAAGGGAUGAUCGUAAUCUUCGACGCACCAGAUCCAGAUGGAGUCCUAGCAUAGUUGCAGGAGCAGCGUAUUGGAGUGGGUAUUGGCGGUGGGUGAAUGAGGAUACCAUUCCAAUGAUGAAAGAUGAAGCAUGAAGCCGGAGAAGAAGAAGAGUUUUCUCAGUUUCGGCGACGGGAAAGUGUACACCGUCCUCUGCCAAUUGUGUGAGCACCUGAAGAAGUGAAAA
Molecule: non-coding RNA, 410 nt
Organism: Arachis ipaensis
Lineage: Eukaryota; Viridiplantae; Streptophyta; Magnoliopsida; Fabales; Fabaceae
Source: RefSeq, a predicted model, not a curated record